Pan troglodytes (chimpanzee) is the source of this 104-nucleotide unclassified non-coding RNA. It matches the Rfam family "Y RNA". Rfam says of the family: Y RNAs are components of the Ro ribonucleoprotein particle (Ro RNP), in association with Ro60 and La proteins. The Y RNAs and Ro60 and La proteins are well conserved, but the function of the Ro RNP is not known. In humans the RNA component can be one of four small RNAs -- hY1, hY3, hY4 and hY5. Lineage: Eukaryota; Metazoa; Chordata; Mammalia; Primates; Hominidae. The record is from Ensembl.
GGCUUGUCUGAAGGUAGUUAUCUCAAUUGACUGUUCAGUCAGUUACAGAUGGAACUCCUUGUUCUACUCUUUCCCACCUUACUACUGCACUUGACUAGUCUAAA